RNAcentral lists this transfer RNA (69 nucleotides) under Phyllomys blainvillii (golden Atlantic tree rat). RNAcentral describes it as "tRNA-Ser". It matches the Rfam family "tRNA". Rfam says of the family: Transfer RNA (tRNA) molecules are approximately 80 nucleotides in length. Lineage: Eukaryota; Metazoa; Chordata; Mammalia; Rodentia; Echimyidae. The record is from RNAcentral.
AAGAAAGUUAUAAAGGUUAUAGGACUGGCUUGAAACUGGUCUUUGGGGGUUCAAUUCCUUCCUUUCUUG